RNAcentral lists this ribosomal RNA (342 nucleotides) under Triticum aestivum (bread wheat). Its description in RNAcentral is "partial small subunit ribosomal RNA". The record is from RNAcentral. Lineage: Eukaryota; Viridiplantae; Streptophyta; Magnoliopsida; Poales; Poaceae.
AUGUUUGACUAUACCAACAUAUUAUGUGGGAAGACAGUAAAAGAACAUGACAAGAAAAAGAAAAGAGAGCAGAAAACCUAUGUUUUGUUCCACUCACCUAUCCCAUUAGAGUCUCUAAAUAUAUGGAAAAAAAAGCGUGUGCUAGUAAACAAAAAGCACAUCGCCAAUAGUUGUACCACAACAUCAGCCUCAGCCAUAUCAAUCAGUUCCAACGCAUCUUCAGUCUUCAUCACCAGCAGGCCAACGCCUCAGCUUUCUCCUCCUUUUUCCGCCCAAUCCACCCUUCUUUCCUUCUUCCUCUCUCGUUGCCUUAACCUCCGCUCUCUUCUGCUCCUCCGAUAA